This 492-nucleotide ribosomal RNA is filed under the name uncultured bacterium. RNAcentral's name for it is "partial 16S ribosomal RNA". It matches the Rfam family "Bacterial small subunit ribosomal RNA", at positions 28 to 507 of the family's 1533-position model. The record is from RNAcentral.
GAUGAACGCUAGCUACAGGCUUAACACAUGCAAGUCGAGGGGAAACGACAUCGAAAGCUUGCUUUUGAUGGGCGUCGACCGGCGCACGGGUGAGUAACGCGUAUCCAACCUGCCCACCACUUGGGGAUAACCUUGCGAAAGUAAGACUAAUACCCAAUGACGUCUCUAGAAGACAUCUGAAAGAGAUUAAAGAUUUAUCGGUGAUGGAUGGGGAUGCGUCUGAUUAGCUUGUUGGCGGGGUAACGGCCCACCAAGGCGACGAUCAGUAGGGGUUCUGAGAGGAAGGUCCCCCGCAUUGGAACUGAGACACGGUCCAAACUCCUACGGGAGGCAGCAGUGAGGAAUAUUGGUCAAUGGACGAGAGUCUGAACCAGCCAAGUAGCGUGCAGGAUGACGGCCCUAUGGGUUGUAAACUGCUUUUAUAAGGGAAUAAAGUGAGUCUCGUGAGACUUUUUGCAUGUACCUUAUGAAUAAGGACCGGCUAAUUCCGUG